This 468-nucleotide ribosomal RNA is filed under the name uncultured bacterium. RNAcentral describes it as "partial 16S ribosomal RNA". It matches the Rfam family "Bacterial small subunit ribosomal RNA", at positions 28 to 507 of the family's 1533-position model. The record is from RNAcentral.
GACGAACGCUGGCGGCGUGCUUAACACAUGCAAGUCGAACGGAAAGGCCCUGCUUUUGUGGGGUGCUCGAGUGGCGAACGGGUGAGUAACACGUGAGUAACCUGCCCCUGACUUUGGGAUAACUCCAGGAAACUGGGGCUAAUACCGGAUAGGAUCUCCUGCUGCAUGGUGGGGGUUGGAAAGUUUCGGCGGUUGGGGAUGGACUCGCGGCUUAUCAGCUUGUUGGUGGGGUAGUGGCUUACCAAGGCUUUGACGGGUAGCCGGCCUGAGAGGGUGACCGGCCACAUUGGGACUGAGAUACGGCCCAGACUGCUACGGGAGGCAGCAGUGGGGAAUAUUACGCAGUGGGCGGAAGCCUGAUGCAGCAGCGCCGCGUGCGGGAUGACGGCCUUCGAGUUGUAAACCGCUUUCGCCUGUGACGAAGCGUGAGUGACGGUAAUGGGUAAAGAAGCACCGGCUAACUACGUG